AAGUGCGAUCAUACUAGCACUAAUGCAUUGGAUCCAAUCAGAACUCCGCAGUUAAGCAUGCUUGGGCGAGAGUAUUACUAGGAUGGGUGACCUCUAGGGAAGUCCUCGUGUUGCACCUC
This 119-nucleotide ribosomal RNA is filed under the name Lupinus angustifolius (narrow-leaved blue lupine). Lineage: Eukaryota; Viridiplantae; Streptophyta; Magnoliopsida; Fabales; Fabaceae. The record is from RNAcentral.